CUUUUAAUUUAUGUUAAAAAAAACAAAACAAGUAGAAUUUUAUUGUUGACAAAUUGUUCAGUUAAGUUAAGUUCAUACAUUAACCAAUCAGAAUGAACGAACUGUAGAUUAACAAAUUGUUUAUUAGUGACACAUCAAAACUUAUCAUUAUAUACGUAGUAUCAAGGUGGCAAUAAAAAAACAUAAGUUGGAGAAGAACAGACACAAACACAGACAAAAUGAAGAAAAUGAAUGAAUGAAAAACGGGACACAAAAACUCCAAAGAUUGAGUAAAGCUAAUCCAACUGAAAGCAGGAAUGAACUCCGUCUUUCCUUGAGAGUAUGUCCACGUUUACCCGUCCCAGUGUAUCCCAAACUCUGUCUGACCGACAAAAUGUAAAAAAAACAUAUUUCGGUCAGACAGAACUUUUAAGAAUUUUUAGUUGAAAUUAUAGUAAUAGUACAGAGGGGGUCAGAAAAGUUCACAUUUCUUUUCGGUCAGACAAAUCCUAAAACAGUUUGUCAAAGACUGUGCGGCGUUCAUACUUUCGAACAUUUGUUUGAAAGCCAUAGAGUACAUGUAUCACAUACAACGAAAAAGUGUGCAGAAGAGUACAUUUCAGGUCAAUCAGUUUUUUUCAGCAAAUUGUUAAAAUGCUUUCAAUGUUCACAAAAUGUUCAAGAGAAGAAGAUGUACUGUUAACUUAUUCAUUUUCUCGGAUACUUUUCUUUUUUAACCGACUUUUUUUUUUUAUUUUCAGAGAGAACUUAUUUUGUUGUUGUACUGAUAGAAGUUUGAUACAGAGAAGCACAUAUUUCGUGACGAUUGCUACGCACUUUUCUAUUUGAGAAUUUAGCGUAAAUAAAUCGUUCACGAAAUUCCAUUGGUUUACAGUACACGUAUACAUAUAUAGGUUUAAAAUAUUGUCAGAAACGUGAUGUAACAAGUUAAACUAUGGUGUAAUUGGAUGGUUUUGGAAAUGUACUGUGAAAGAGUAGUUAAAGGGAUAACAAGAUUACAUACUGACGUAAAAGAUCAGGCGCGUUUACGACAGAUCAGUUUAAACAACUAUUUAUUCAAACCUCAGCUACAAGUAUGCGUGGGUUACAAAAAUAAGGUUAGAAAAUAGAAUGGAAAGGG
Molecule: long non-coding RNA, 1120 nt
Filed under: Mytilus galloprovincialis (Mediterranean mussel)
Lineage: Eukaryota; Metazoa; Mollusca; Bivalvia; Mytilida; Mytilidae
Source: RNAcentral